AGUGGAGGACGGGUGAGUAACGCGUGGGUAACCUGCCUUAUACAGGGGGAUAACAGUUGGAAACGACUGCUAAUACCGCAUAAGCGCACAGUGCCGCAUGGCACAGUGUGAAAAACUCCGGUGGUAUAAGAUGGACCCGCGUCUGAUUAGCUAGUUGGUGAGGUAACGGCUCACCAAGGCGACGAUCAGUAGCCGGCUUGAGAGAGUGAUCGGCCACAUUGGGACUGAGACACGGCCCAAACUCCUACGGGAGGCAGCAGUGGGGAAUAUUGCACAAUGGGGGAAACCCUGAUGCAGCAACGCCGCGUGAGUGAAGAAGUAUUUCGGUAUGUAAAGCUCUAUCAGCAGGGAAGAUAAUGACGGUACCUGACUAAGAAGCCCCGGCUAACUACGUGCCAGCAGCCGCGGUAAUACGUAGGGGGCAAGCGUUAUCCGGAUUUACUGGGUGUAAAGGGAGCGUAGGCGGCUUGGCAAGUCUGAUGUGAAAGCCCAGGGCUCAACCCUGGGACUGCACUGGAAACUGUCAGGCUAGAGUGCAGGAGAGGUAAGUGGAAUUCCUAGUGUAGCGGUGAAAUGCGUAGAUAUUAGGAGGAACACCAGUGGCGAAGGCGGCUUACUGGACUGUAACUGACGCUGAGGCUCGAAAAGCGUGGGGAGCAAACAGGAUUAGAUACUCUGGUAGUCCACGCUGUAAACGAUGAAUACUAGGUGU
Molecule: ribosomal RNA, 712 nt
Filed under: uncultured bacterium
Lineage: Bacteria
Description: bacterial SSU rRNA
Rfam family: Bacterial small subunit ribosomal RNA
Source: RNAcentral